Molecule: non-coding RNA, 19 nt
Filed under: Rattus norvegicus (Norway rat)
Lineage: Eukaryota; Metazoa; Chordata; Mammalia; Rodentia; Muridae
Source: RNAcentral
UAGUUGGAGGUGGAUUGGG